RNAcentral lists this ribosomal RNA (445 nucleotides) under uncultured bacterium. RNAcentral's name for it is "partial 16S ribosomal RNA". It matches the Rfam family "Bacterial small subunit ribosomal RNA", at positions 354 to 796 of the family's 1533-position model. The record is from RNAcentral.
GUGAGGAAUAUUGGACAAUGGGCGCAAGCCUGAUCCAGCCAUGCCGCGUACAGGAAGACGCAUCUAUGGUGUGUAAACUGCUUUUGUACGGGAAGAAACACUCCCUCGUGAGGGAGCUUGACGGUACCGUAAGAAUAAGGAUCGGCUAACUCCGUGCCAGCAGCCGCGGUAAUACGGAGGAUCCAAGCGUUAUCCGGAAUCAUUGGGUUUAAAGGGUCCGUAGGCGGUUUAAUAAGUCAGUGGUGAAAGCCCAUCGCUCAACGAUGGAACGGCCAUUGAUACUGUUAGACUUGAAUUACAAGGAAGUAACUAGAAUAUGUAGUGUAGCGGUGAAAUGCUUAGAUAUUACAUGGAAUACCAAUUGCGAAGGCAGGUUACUACUUGUGGAUUGACGCUGAUGGACGAAAGCGUGGGGAGCGAACAGGAUUAGAUACCCGAGUAGUCC